AGAGUUUGAUCCUGGCUCAGGAUGAACGCUGGCGGUCUGCUUAACACAUGCAAGUCGAACGCAACCUUCGGGUUGAGUGGCGGACGGGUGAGUAACGCGUGAGAAUCUGCCUUAGGGUCGGGGACAACCACUGGAAACGGUGGCUAAUACCGGAUGAGCCGAUUGGUGAAAGAUUUAUUGCCCGAAGAGGAGCUCGCGUCUGAUUAGCUAGUUGGUGAGGUAAGAGCUCACCAAGGCAGCGAUCAGUAGCUGGUCUGAGAGGACGAUCAGCCACACUGGGACUGAGACACGGCCCAGACUCCUACGGGAGGCAGCAGUGGGGAAUUUUCCGCAAUGGGCGAAAGCCUGACGGAGCAAGACCGCGUGAGGGAGGAAGGCUCUUGGGUUGUAAACCUCUUUUCUCAGGGAAGAAGCUCUGACGGUACCUGAGGAAUCAGCCUCGGCUAACUCCGUGCCAGCAGCCGCGGUAAUACGGAGGAGGCAAGCGUUAUCCGGAAUUAUUGGGCGUAAAGCGUCCGCAGGUGGCGAUUCAAGUCUGCUGUCAAAGCACGGGGCUUAACUCCGUUAAGGCAGUGGAAACUGAAUAGCUAGAGUGCCGUAGGGGUAGAGGGAAUUCCCGGUGUAGCGGUGAAAUGCGUAGAGAUCGGGAAGAACAUC
This 657-nucleotide ribosomal RNA is filed under the name uncultured bacterium. RNAcentral describes it as "bacterial SSU rRNA". It matches the Rfam family "Bacterial small subunit ribosomal RNA", at positions 8 to 710 of the family's 1533-position model. The record is from RNAcentral.